Molecule: long non-coding RNA, 325 nt
Organism: Chiroxiphia lanceolata (lance-tailed manakin)
Lineage: Eukaryota; Metazoa; Chordata; Aves; Passeriformes; Pipridae
Exons: 2
Source: RefSeq, a predicted model, not a curated record
GCUAUGUCAAAGACCUCUCUGUUAUGCAAACAAAAGCACAAUAAAUGAGCAUAAUUAGGAGAAUCAUUUCAAAACUAUAAUUCUGAUCUAACUCCAUCGUUAAUGACAACACAUUCUGAUUGAGCCAUCAUCUGCCUGGGCUUAGCUAACCAGAGGCUGUGCUCUGUUACUGUGUGAAAAGAAGGAUGCACUAUCCCCACACCAAAAUGCAAAUGCUCUGGAAUAACACAGAGUCCUAAGUAUGCCAGCACAGGAAAAUGUAGAAACUGGAAGGCCUUUGGAGAAAAUGAAAAAAGCUGUAUUGUAAAGAAAAAUAUUCUGAACA